This 23849-nucleotide long non-coding RNA is filed under the name Homo sapiens (human). Its description in RNAcentral is "non-protein coding lnc-SUMF1-4:1". Lineage: Eukaryota; Metazoa; Chordata; Mammalia; Primates; Hominidae. The record is from RNAcentral.
AGCUGGGCGAUGCACUCGUUAAUCCGGUCACGUCUCUUUUUCUCGAUGAGCCGGUGCGGCAAUUUGUAGGUCUCCUGCAAGACGCACGGGGAGGCGGUGGGCGCUUGGGGAAGGAGAUGAGAAGCCUAUCCUCCCAGCCCCGCAGCAACAGUCCGGCAGAGGAGCAGAGUAGCAGAGUAGCACCCAGAACCAUCGUCUGCCCUUUCUUUUCCAAGUCACUCAGAAGAGGCACCGAGCCCACACCCUGCAUCCCCUCGCCAACCUCAAAGCGAGAAAACUUUUCUUGGAAACUCAGCGCGCGCGAGGGGCUGAGCGCAGGGUCCCUAGGGGUGCACUUGCUUACCUUGCUGUCCUCGCUCCGCUUUAUUCCCCGUCUUGACUUGUACACUUGGUACAUGUGGGCAGGGUACAUCCUGCAGGAAGAGAGACCAGGAAGGGUCGUGACUGCUUGCGCACGGCUGCAGGCGUUCUGCCGGGCAAGAACCUCCCGGUGCGCCCGGAGCUGCUCCAAGUUGAGAGUGGCGCAUAACAUGGGGCUGCAGUUGAGGCUUGAAGGGCCAAGGAGUGCCAACUUACCCUGGUAGGUCUCCGUGCUCCAGUCCCGGUGCUUUGGGCAGGCAGGCGGGGGGUGGUUGCGCGCUGGGGAUCCGCUCCAUGGCGCGGCGAGCCGGGGCCACUGCGCGCUCCUGUCUGCACUAGCGGAGCGUCUGGAUGAGGACUGCCCUGGAGAGGGCUUCGGGGGUCUCUCCGCAGAUGUUCCUCUGAGUCUGAGCUCUUUGAAAUCCCCUGGGCUGCUGGAAUCUUCGGCUUUGAGAUGCAGCUUCAGUUGGGGGCGUGCAUGGCCCGGUGUCCCCGCGGCCUCUGGCUCCGACUCAGCGCACAGACUGGCGGUGUGUGCUCCCUGCGCGGUCUGUCUGCGCCGUGCGAGCCAAGUGAAUGAGAAGUGGGGCGGGCGGGGAGGCGGGAGGGAGCGGGUGAGGGGGGGGCGGUUAGGGCGGAGUGGGGGGGUGGGGGGGCAAGCCGAGGAGUAAUGGAGAGGCUGCGGGCUGGGUUAAAUGGGAGCGAGUGGGUGGGUUGGAGCUACGUGUUCUACCCUGUGACUCCAGGCACGUCUGGCCACUGCCGGGGAGGGAAGGAGCGACCUGCCCGCCCUCCCCCGGCUUCAUCACAUGAGUCUCACGUGUUGGACAACGCUCCGGCGGCUGCUAGGGAGCCCCCACCCCCAGCCCCGGCCCCCAGGUGUCUGCGGCUGCGGCCGCCUUUCCCCGAAGAGGGGGUGGCAGCACGACCUGGGUCCUGCCCAGUUGGGUGGGGGGCGCGGAAGCUGGAAGGGACGGGGGUGCUGGGGGAGGGGGAGAAGUUGGUAACGUGGGCGAACCUGCCCCAGGGAAAUGAAGUAAGUUCCCGUCUCCUGGGAGGGAACGGGGGAGGACGGAUCCGCCCGCGUCUGACUCAAGCCGGGAGAGGAAUAUCCCCUUGCUAGCUCCAGCCCAGCCCUCUUCCUCCUCCCCCGCCCGGCCCGCUUGGAGGAACCGGCGCGCUGCGGAGGGAGUCGCCCGGCCCCCCAGCCUUCCCCAGAGGCUGGGGUUUCUUUCCGUCCUGGCUUCCCUGCCCCCACUGCUCACCCUCGCGUCCAGGAAUUGCCCGCCUUGGGGAGGGACCGAGGGGCGGGGCGGAUGUCACCCCAUGGGAAGCGGGCCGACGGCCAAGCGCAGGGGCAGCUGAGGCUGCCGCCGAGCACGCCGCGCGCACCUGACCGUGGAGGGUGUGAGCCGAGGGCCCCUCGCUCCCAGGAGCUCCGCUCCUGGGCACAACCUGCGGGCGGGCGGGCACCCGGUUGCGCAGCCCCCUGGGUGCCCCAGUGUCACCCCCUUCCUCCCGGCCAGUCAAGCGCAGAAAGAUACCGGGCGCUGUGCCCGGCGCUCCCUCCCUCCUCUGCCCCCUCCGGAGCAGAGGCGCCCCGGUCGCCUCCCCUCCGGCUGCAGCGUUACACAACCGCGGCGGCGGCGCCUGCCCUGCAGCAGCGCAGGGCGUGACGCUUCACGUGGCCGGGCUCAGGUCGUAGCACCGCGGACCGCGAGCCUCUCUGCGUUGACCCAGGGACUGAGACCCCGGGGACGUGGCGUGCCAGCCCGGAUCGGCCCUCUCCCUGCCUGUUGGGAAGUUCGGCGGCGCUGUUCGCGGUCUGCACCCAGGGCAGGAGGGAUGAGAGAGACAAGAAAAAAAAACCGCCUGUUACAGGGAAAUCUUAGCAAUCAUGCGGUCGACACGUAUUUCUUGAGCCCCCUGCUCUGCACUAGGCGCUGCACUAGUUGAUGAAUCCGACACGGAUCCUGCCCUUGAACUUGCAGAACCUCUAGGAAGAGGUUAAAUUGAGCAAUAAAGGAAAGGCAGCCCUGGGAAAAUUGUAUCGAGGCCACUGGCUGACAGAGGGGAAAAACAAUGAGAACUUGUGUUGCUUUGUGUUUUGUUUUUAAUUUCAUUGUAACCGAGAUGCCUAGGUAGAGAAGCGGGGGAGAAGCUAACCCAAAGCCCCAAGCCCGGGGCGGAAGGACCUCCUCCAGCGGCCCCAGAUCUCUGCAAUCUCACUUAGGCUGCCGGAGGGCCCCACCCACCUCCCCCGGAAAGGUCCGGGCUCUGUGACCUUCUCACUCAGCCGGGAGCAGGGAAAACAGCUGAAACUCCAAUCCCGCGGUGUGAGCAGCGCUGAUACAGUCAGAGGAGGGAGCCAGUGGAAACUCAUGACUAAAAUAAGGCCUGGCUGGGGAUUUCACUGACCUCUGCGCUCCCCUGCCCUGCAAGUUCGGGGAGUUGAGAGAUGACUGUAAGCCCUUCCCACUGCGCUUCGGGUCAGUCACCCCACUGCUGAGUGACCUGGCUGUGGGAAGGAUUGAAAAAAAAAUGGGGUCACUGCCGAGACUGGGCGAAGAGUAGUAGCCUCGGGUGCAGUUAGGGGAUCAGUCUUAACUGGCAGUGCCCUUGACGACCUAGAGAACUGGCAUUCACAAGUUGACCAAACUGGCAGUGUAUUUCCUUCAGGUCGCCUUGGAGAGCUCCCGCUUCCUGUUUAUAUUUCACAAGCGUCAAACUCUUUAGCAAGUGUGAGAAAUGCCUCCUUUUCUAACUGCUAACUGGCAUGACCUCACUUCGGGGCUCAGAGAUCCCUCCCUGCCAGAAUGUACUUUUGCUGGCCAAAGGCGGGGACCGGGGUCCGCCCUGGAAACGCGCUUUCAAUCUUGGGCGACCUGCUUCAUUGUGUGAUUUUAAUAAGGAUGAAGGGCUGUCACGGCUGCGUCAAAACCACGGUUCCAGCAGGAAAUAAGCACUGGGAGAGGACAGGACACGUACCCCCUUCCGCCGACACCCCCCACCCGAUGGCAGGAGGGAGCCCAAACCUUGCAGCUUCCAUGGCUCAUGGCUCAUGACAAUAUCAUUCUUAAAAUUCUUUGAGUUUAUCAAUACGUUUUGCCCUUACCUGCCCUACAACUGUAAAUAACAAAAUGUAUGCAUUUCCUACUUUUUAUUUGUUCCGAAUGUAUUCUCAAGCUUCAAGAACGGUUCCCAUCCUACCAGACUUCCACCGUAUCAGGAUUAAAAAACAAAACAAAACUCUGUUAUUCUCUCCAUAGCUUAUGGCUUUUAAAAAAUAAUAAUUUGAACAAACAAUUCCUACGUGGCAUAGAUCUUUCCAUCCUGGAGAAUGUUACUAUUUCAGUCUGUCAUCUUUUGUAGAUAUUAAAAACCUUUCGUAUGUCAAUUUCUUUGCUCCUCACCACCACCUUUUAGGCAGGUACUAGUAUUAGCUCGAUGCAUUUGACACGUGUUUAUUGUUAUUCAAUGCCAGACACUGAAAUAGGCCCUAGGGAUGUAUAACAUAUUCUGUUUGGAAAAUUGAGGCUCAAGGAGGCUAAAUAACCUGCCCCAGGUUAUAUAGUCUGGGAUUCAGUCUGAGACAGGCCCCCAGGUUUGUUGGACUCCAAAGCUUGUGCUCUUAAUCACUAUACUUACGGUUGCCUGGUAGGGUUGUUUGGGUUGUGCACCGCUCAACUCCAGGGGGAGCUAUUCACAUUGCAGUCUGUGUGAGAGCACCCUCUGGAGUUGUGCAAUGUGGCACUGAGCAGCUGCACUGGGUAAUCCUGCCAUUUUGUAGCCGUCCCUGCUGUUUUGUCUCUUCUAAGUGGGGAGAGAACAUAAUUUCGUACAAGAGAAAGAUGGGAUCUUUCUCUUCUUUCCUAUUGGGACUCAGCAUCUUGGUGGCCUUACACUGUGUGCUGAAUGAGUCUAUACUGUUACUAUCUAUAGUAACUCCCGGGCCCUUCCUGUGCAAGAAUUUAGAGCCCCAAGCUCCCCUAUACAUCCCCACAACUUGCUUGCUCAGAUAUCACUUUUUACCUGCUUAUGAAGCCUCAAAAAUUUUUAUCUCAGCUCACGGUAAGAAAUACAUUUUACAUCAUGUCUCAAUACACACACGUAUGUCUUUACACACAUCUUAAGUAUAUUUAAGCAUAGGGCAGCCAAAGCUUGGUUGGGCUAUAGCAAUAAGUGACCGCUACCCUCUCUCCUAUACUCCUGAGUAACCAUUGCUCUCUUAAAAAAGAAAAAAGAAAAAAUUGAGCCACUUAGAAAGAAGUCAAUCAGGCCGAGUGUGGUGGCUCAUGCCUGUAAUCCCAGCACUUUGGGAGGCCAAGGCGGGCGGAUCGUCUGAGGUCAGGAGUUCGAGACCAGUCUGGCCAACAUGGUAAAACCCCAGCUUUACUAAAAAUACCAAAAAUCAGCCGGACAUAGUGACGGGCACCUGUUAUCCCAGCUACUUAGGAGGCUGAGAUAGGAGAACUGCUUGAACCCAAGAGGCAGAGGUUGUAGUGAGUGAGCCGAGAUCACACCAUUGCACUCCACCUUGGGCAACAAGAGCAAAACUCCGUCUCAGGAAAAAAAAAAAAAAAAAAAAAGUCAAUCCAAUGCAUUUCAGACAAAAAUUUCACAGAACAAUAUUUCACUGUUAUUAUAUACAUUCUGAUACUUUCCAGUUUAGUCUCAUCUGUUUUAUUAAAAGUAUUCAGGUCAUGACUUACUAAGUUGAUCUCACCACUCACCAAUGGAUCAUGACCUGAAAUUUAAAAACUUGCCUGUGGGGCACAGUGGCUCACGCCUGUAAUCCUAGCACUUUGGGAGGCCAAAUCAGGUGGAUCAUGAGGUCAGGAGUUCAAGACCAGCCUAGCAAAUAUGGUAAAACCCCAUCUCUACUAAGAAAAUUAAAAAAUUAGCUGGGCAUGGUGGUGCACGCCUGUAGUCCCAGCUACUUGGAAGGCUGAGGCAGGAGAAUCGCUUGAACCAAGGAGGCAGAGGUUGCAUUGAGCCGAGAUCAUGCCACUGUACUCCAGCCUGGGCGACAGGGUGAGACUCCGUCUCAAAAUAAAUAAAAAAUAAAAACUUGCCUUACUCUAGAGAUAGUGUUGUAUUUUUGGCUUGGCCCCACCAGAAAGAGAUCAGUGGCAUCUGCACACUUGAAGAUCUUCCAAAUAACUUAUAAAAAUGUUAAAUAAAAUUGCUGAUUCUGGUUGGACUCAAUGGUAUAGAGGUCUCCAUUCAGGAAAACAUCUGUUAAUUCCUACCUUUGUUCCCUAUUUAUAAUCAACCUUCUCAUUUUCUGCUCUUUUAAAAAAUAACGGCAUUUAAUUCUUUAAUUGAGAGGUAAACAUAAAAUGCAGAUCUUAAAUGUUUGGUGUAUUAUUUUUGGUAAAUGUACACCUAUGUAGCCACUGCCCCACACAAGAUACAGAACACUUUUAUCACCCCAGAAAGUUUCUUUAUAUAUCAUUUUCCAAUCAAUCCCCCAACCCCCACAAUUACUUUCUGAUUUCUAUCACUAUAGAUUAACUUUGUCCAUUAUUGAGAUUCGUAUAAAUGAAUGUACUCUUCAAAGUUUCUGUCAAUAUAGUUUUGAGAUCCUACCAUAUUAGCACAUGUAUUAGAAUUUUGUUCUUUUUUAUUGCUGAGUGUAUUUCAUCAUACACAUAUAGCACAGUUUAUCUAGUUCCCUGUUAAUGGAUAUUCAGGUUGUUUCCAGUUUGGGGCUGUUAUGAAUGAAGCUGCUAUCAACAUUCAUGUUCAAGUUCUUUUGUGAACGUAUGUUCUCAUUUAUGUUGGAUAAAUAUUAGGAGUGGAAUUCUUGGGUCACAGAUUAAAUAUAUGUGAACUUUAUUAUAAAUUGCCAAACAGAUCUCCAAAGAGGUGUUACCAUUUUACAAUACCACCAACAAUGUAUGAGAAUUCCAGCUGCUCCACAACCUUACUAACGUUUAGGGUAGACAGAUUUUUAAAUUUUAGCCAUUCUAAUGGGUAUGAAAUAAUAUUUUAUUGUCAUUUUAAUUUGCAUUACCCUGAUAAUGAAGUUGAGCACUCUUUCAUAUGCUUAUUGGCCAUUGGUAUAUCUUAUUUUCUGAAGUAUUUGUCCACAUCUUUUGCUUAGUUUUUAAAUUGGAUUACUUACCUUUAUAAUUGUUGUAUAUGGAAAUACAAUCCAAUUUUCUAUAUUGACCUCGUAUCCUGCAACUUUGCCAUUAUAUUGUUGACUUUUAGGAGUUCCUUAUAUAUUCUAAUUACAAGUGCUUUGUCAGAAACACGAUUUUAUUAAUGAUGUCCUUUAUGAGUAGAAUUUUUAGUUUUGGUAGAGUCCAAUCUAUCAGUAUUUUCUUUUACAGCUUGUGCGUGGGUCUUUAUCAAAAAAUUUUGCAUGACUCAAGUCAGAAAGAUACUAUGUUUUUCUCUAGAAACUUUAUAGAUAAGAUUUUUGUACUUAGGUCUGUGAUCUGUCUCAAAGUAAUUUUUUGUUUAUGGAGUGAAAGAAGAGUCAAGAUUCAGUUUUAUGUUCCAGCAAUACUUAACAAGACUUUCCCUUCCCAAUCGGAUUUACUUCACCACUUUGUUGAAAAUCAAUCAACCAUAUCCGUGUGGUUCUAUUUAUAUACUUUCUGUUUUGUUUCGUUGGUCUGUUUGUCUAGGUUUCACCAAUACCACACUAUCUUGAUUACUGGAGCUUUACAGAAAUCUUAAAAUUGGAUGGUGUAAAUCUUCUAACUUCGUUCUUUUUAAAGAUUGUUUUGGCACGCCUGUAAUGCCAGCUCUUUGGGAGACUGAGGUGGGCAGAUCACAUGAGGUGAGGAGUGUGAGACCAGCCUGGCCAACAUAGUAAAACCCCGUCUCUGCUAAAAAUACAAAAAUUAGUCGGUCAUGGUGGUGGGCACCUGUAAUCCCAGCUACUCAGGAGGCUGAGGCAGGAGAAUCGCUUGAACCCAGGAGGCGGAGGCUGCAGUCAGCCAAGAUCACACCACUGCACUCCAGCCUGAGUGAGAUCAUCUAAAAAAAAAAGAUUGUUUUGACUAUUUUGGGUUCUUUGCAUUACCAUAUAAAUUUUAGAUUCAGCUUUUUUCUUUCUUCAAAGAAGCUUGCUAGAAUUUCUAUGGGAAUUGCAUCAUACCUAUAGAUCAGCUUAGGAAAAAUGAACAUUUAAACAAUAUUAUGCCUUCUUAUCUAUGAAUAUGGUAUAGCUUUACAUUUUUUUUUAUGAUGUCAUCUUCAUUUCUUUCAGCAAUAUUUGUAGUUUUCUAUGGAGAGGUCUUACACAUCUUUUGUUAGAUCUGUUCCUAGCUAUUUGAUUUUUUUAAAUAUGCCUGUAAAUUUUAAAACAUUUCCCAAUUGUUUAUUGAGUGUAUAUAGAAAUGCAGUCAAUUUUUGUAUCUAUAACCUUGCUAAAUUCAUUUAUUAGUUUGAGUAGUAUUUUUGGUAGGGUUCUUCACAUACGCAAACAUGUUGUUUGUGAACAAUGACAGCUUUACUUCUUUUCUGAUCUUUUAAAUUUCUUUUUCGCCUUAAUACUUUAUCAGGAUAAUGCUGGUCUUAUAAAACAAGUUGAGAAAUAUUACUUCUUUUCUGAAGGAGCUUGUGUAGGAUUGGUAAUAUUUCUUCCUUAAAUGGAGAAGCCACCUGAGCCUGAAGUUUUCUUUGGGGGAAAGAUUUUUACUAUGAGUAUAAUUCCAUUAACAGAUAUUAGGCUAUUUAGUUUUUAAUUUCUUCUUUCAUUAGUUUUGUUCAUUUGUGUUUUUUAAGAAAUUUGUCUAUUUCACUUAAAUUUGCCAAUAUAUUGGUAUAAAGUUUUAUCAGUUUCAAAGUUUAUAGUCAGUAGUAAUAAACCCCUUCUCACUCCUUUUAAAAGUUUUUGUUAAUGUAUGUAUUUUUCUUGAUUAUCUUGCCAAGGGGCCUAUCAAUUUUAUUACACUUUACAAAGAUCGAAAUUUUGAUAUUAUUGAUUUUCUCUAUUGUUUGUUCAUCUUAUAUUUCAUUAAUUUUCUCUUUUUUUCUUUUUUUUUUUUUUUUACUUAUUUUGGAUUUAAUUUGCUCUACUUUUUCUGGUUUCUUGUGAUGCAAGGUAAUGUGAUUUUAAACUUUUCUUCUUGUUACUUACUUUUUUAUUUUUUAUUAUACUUUAAGUUCUAGGGUACGUGUGCACAACGUGCAGGUUUGUUACAUAUAUAUACAUGCGCCAGGUUGGUGUGCUGCACCCAUUAACUCGUCAUUUACAUUAGGUAUUUCUCCUAAUACUAUCCCUCCCCACUCCCCCCACCCCACAACAGGCCCCAGUGUGUGAUGUUCCCUGCCCUGCGUCCGUGUGUUCUAAUUCAAUUCCCACCUAUGAGUGAGAACAUGCGGUGUUUGGUUUUUUGUCCUUGCGAUAGUUUGCUGAGAAUGAUGGUUUCCAGCUUCGUCCAUGUCCCUACAAAGGACAUGAACUCAUCAUUUUUUAUGGCUGCAUAGUAUUCCAUGAUGUAUAUGUGCCACAUUUUCUUAAUCCAGUCUAUCAUUGCUGGACAUUUGGAUUGGUUCCAAGUCUUUGCUAUUGUGAAUAGUGCCUCAGUAGACAUAUGCAUGCAUGUGUCUUUAUAGCAGCAUGAUGUAUAAUCCUUUGGGUAUAUACCCAGUAAUGGGAUGGCUGGGUCAAAUGGUAUUUCUAGUUCUAGAUCCCUGAGGAAUCGCCACACCGACUUCCACAAUGGUUGAACUAGUUUACAGUCCCACCAACAGUGUAAAAGUGUUCCUAUUUCUUCACAUCCUCUCCAGCACCUGUUGUUUCCUGACUUUUUAAUGAUCGCCAUUCUAACUGGUGUGAGAUGGUAUCUCAUUGUGGUUUUGAUUUGCAUUUCUCUGAUGGCCAGUGAUGAUGAGAAUUUUUUCAUGGGUCUUUUGGCUACAUGAAUGUCUUCUUUUGAGAAGUGUCUGUUCUAUCCUUCGCACACUUUUUGAUGGGGUUGUUUGUUUUUUUCUUGUAAAUUUGUUUGAGUUCAUUGUAGAUUCUGGAUAUUAGCCCUUUGUCAGAUGAGUAGAUUGCAAAAAUUUUCUCCCCUUCUGUAGGUUGCCUAUUCACUCUGAUGGUAGUUUCUUUUGCUGUGCAGAAGCUCUUUAGUUUAAUUAGAUCCCAUUUGUCAAUUUUGGCUUUUGUUGCCAUUGCUUUUGGUGUUUUAGACAUGAAGUUCUUGCCCAUGCCUAUGUCCUGAAUGGUAUUGCCUAGGUUUCCUUCGACGGUCUUUAUGGUUUUAGGUCUAACAUGUAAGUCUUUAAUCCAUCUUGAAUUAAUUUUUGUAUAAAGUGAAAGGAAAGGAUCCAGUUUCAGCUUUCUACAUAUGGCUAGCCAGUUUUCCCAGCACCAUUUAUUAAAUAAGGAAUCCCUUCCCCAUUGCUUGUUUUUGUCAGGUUUGUCAGAGAUCAGAUAGUUGUAGAUAUGUGGCAUUAUUUCUGAGGGCUCUGUUCUGUUCCAUUGGUCUAUAUCUCUGUUUUGGUACCAGUACCAUGCUGUUUUGGUUACUGUAGCCUUGUAGUAUAGUUUGAAGUCAGGUAGCGUGAUGCCUCCAGCUUUGCCCUUUUUGCUUAGGAUUGUCUUGGCAAUGCGGGCUCUUUUUUGGUUCCAUAUGAACUUUAAAGUAGUUUUUUCCAAUUCUGUGAAGAAAGUCAUUGGUAGCUUUAUAGGGAUGGCACUGAAUCUCUAAAUUACCUUGGGCAGUAUGGCCAUUUUCACGAUAUUGAUUCUUCCUUCCCAUGAGCAUGGAAUGUUCUUCCAUUUGUUUGUAUCCUCUUUUAUUUCACUGAGCAGUGGUUUGUGGUUCUCCUUGAAGAGGUCCUUCACAUCCCUUGUAAGUUGGAUUCCUAGGUAUUUUAUUCUCUUUGAAGCAAUUGUGAAUGGCAGUUCACUCAUGAUUUGGCUCUCUGUUUGUCUGUUAUUAGUGUAUAAGAAUGCUGGUGAUUUUUGCACAUUGAUUUUGUAUCCUAAGACUUUGCUGAAGUUGUUUAUCAGCUUAAGGAGAUUUUGGGCUGAGAUGAUGGGGUUUUCUAAAAAUACAAUCAUGUCAUCUGCAAACAGGGACAAUUUGACUUCCUCUUUUCCUAAUUGAAUACCCUUUAUUUCCUUCUCCUGCCUAAUUGCCCUGGCCAGAACUUCCAACACCAUGUUGAAUAGGAGUGGUGAGAGAGGGCAUCCCUGUCUUGUGCCAGUUUUCAAAGGGAAUGCUUCCAGUUUUUGCCCAUUCAGUAUGAUAUUGGCUGUGGGUUUGUCAUAGUUAGCUCUCAUUAUUUUGAGAUAUGUCCAAUCAAUACCUAGUUUAUUGAGAGUUUUUAGCCUGAAGGGCUGUUGAAUUUUGUCAAAAGGCCUUUUCUGCAUCUAUUGAGAUAAUCAUGUGGUUUUUGUCUUUGGUUCUGUUUAUAUGACGGGUUACGUUUAUUGAUUUGCGUAUGUUGAGCCAGCCUUGCAUCCCAGGGAUGAAGCCAACUUGAUCAUGGUGGAUAAGCUUUUUGAUGUGCUGCUGGAUUUGGUUUGCCAGUAUUUUAUUGAGGAUUUUUGCAUCAAUGUUCGUCAGGGAUAUUGGUCUAAAAUUCUCUUUUUUGGUUGUGUCUCUGCCAGGCUUCGGUAUCAAGAUGAUGCUGGCCUCAUAAAAUGAGUUAGGGAGGAUUCCUCUUUUUCUAUUGAUUGGAAUAGUUUCAGUAGGAAUGGUACCAGCUCCUUUUUGUACCUCUGGUAGAAUUCGGCUGUGAAUCCUUCUGGUCCUGGACUUUUUUUGGUUGGUAGGCUCUUAAUUAUUGCCUCAAUUUCAGAGCCCGUUAUUGAUCUAUUCAGGGAUUCAACUUCUUCCCGGUUUAGUCUUGGGAGGGUGGAUGUGUUGGGGAAUUUAUCCAUUUCUUCUAGAUUUUCUAGUUUAUUUGCGUAGAGGUGUUUAUGGUAUUCUCUGAUGGUAGUUUGUAUUUCUGUGGGAUUGGUGGUGAUAUCCCCUUUAUCAUUUUUUUAUUGCGUGUAUUUGAUUCUUCUCUCUUUUCUUCUUUAUUAGUCUUACUAGCGGUUUAUCUAUUUUGUUGAUCUUUUCAAAAAACCAGCUCCUGGAUUCAUUGAUUUUUUGAAGGGCUUUUUGUGUCUCUAUCUCCUUCAGUUCUGCUCUGAUCUUAGUUAUUUCUUGCCUUCUGCUAGCUUUUGAAUGUGUUUGCUCUUGCUUCUCUAGUUCUUUUAAUUGUGAUGUUAGGGUGUCGAUUUUAGAUCUUUCCUGCUUUCUCUUGUGGGCAUUUAGUGCUAUAAAUUUCUCUCUACACACUGCUUUAAGUGUGUCCCAGAGGUUCUAGUAUAUUGUGUCUUUGUUCUCAUUGGUUUCAAAGAACAUCUUUACUUGUGCCUUCAUUUCGUUAUUUACCCAGUAGUCAUUCAGGAGCAGGUUGUUCAGUUUCCAUGUAGCUGCGUGGUUUUGAGUGAGUUUCUUAAUCCUGAGUUCUAAUUUGAUUGCACUGUGGUCUGAGAGACAGUUUGUUGUAAUUUCUGUUCUUUUACAUUUGCUGAGGAGUGCUUUACUUCCAACUAUGUGGUCAAUUUUGGAAUAAGUGCAAUGUGGUGCUGAGAAGAAUGUAUAUUCUGUUGAUUUGGCGUGGAGAGUUCUGUAGAUGUCUAUUAGGUCCACUUGGUGCAGAGCUGAGUUUAAGUCCUGGAUAUCCUUGUUAACUUUUUGUCUCGUUGAUCUAUCUAAUGUUGACAGUGGGGCGUUAAAGUCUCCCAUUAUUAUUGUGUGGGAGUCUAAGUCUCUUUGUAGGUCUCUAAGGACUUGCUUUAUGAAUCUGGGUGCUCCUGUAUUGGGUGCAUGUAUAUUUAGGAUAGUUAGCUCUUCUUGUUGUAUUGAUCCCAUUACCAUUAUGUAAUGGCCUUCUUUGUCUCUUUUGAUCUUUGUUGGUUGGUUUAAAGUCUGUUUUAUCCAAGACUAGGAUUGCAACCCCUGCUUUUUUUUUGUUUUCCAUUUUCUUGGUAGAUCUUCUUCCAUCCCUUUAUUUUGAGCCUAUGUGUGUUCUGCAUGUGAGAUGGGUCUCCUGAAUAUAGCACACUGAUGGGUCUUGACUGUUUAUCCAAUUUGCCAGUCUGUGUCUUUUAAUAGGGGCGUUUAGCCCAUUUACAUUUAAGGUUAAUAUUGUUAUGUGUGAAUUUGAUCCUGUCAUUAUGAUGUCAUUGCUCGUUAGUUGAUGCAGUUUCUUCCUAGCAUCAAUGGUCUUUACAAUUUGGCAUGUUUUUGCAGUGGCUGGUACUGGUUGUUCCUUUCCUUGUUUAGCGCUUCCUUCAGGAGCUCUUUUAGGGCAGGCCUGGUGGUGACAAAAUCUCUCAGCAUUUGUUUGUCUGUAAAGGAUUUUAUUUCUCCUUCACUUAUGAAGCUUAGUUUGACUGGAUAUGAAAUUCUGGGUUGAAAAUUCUUUUCUUUAAGAAUGUUGAAUAUUGGCCCCCACUCUCUUCUGGCUUGUAAAGUUUCUGCUGAGAGAUCCACUGUUAGUCUGAUGGGCUUUCCUUUGUGGGUAACCCAACCUUUCUUUCUGGCUGCCCUUAACAUUUUUUCCUUCAUUUCAACCUUGGUGAAUCUGACAAUUAUGUGUCUUGGGGUUGGUCUUCUCAAGGAGUGUCUUUGUGGCGUUCUCUGUAUUUCCUGAAUUUGAAUGUUGGCCUGCCUUGCUAGGCUGGGGAAGUUCUCCUGGAUAAUAUCCUGCAGAGUGUUUUCCAACUUGGUUCCAUUCUCCUCAUUACUUUCAGGUACACCAAUCAAAUGUAGGUUUGGUCUUUUCACAUAGUCUCAUAUUUCUUGGAGGCUUUGUUCAUUUCUUUUUACUCUUUCUUCUCUAAACUUCUCCUUUUCUUCAUUUCAUUCAUUUGAUCUUUAAUCACUGAUACCCUUUCUUCCACUUGAUCGGAUUGGCUCCUGAAGCUUGUGCAUGCGUCACAUAGUUUUUGUGCCAUGGUUUUCAGCUCCAUCAGGUCCUUUAAGGUCUUCUCUACGCUCUUUAUUCUAGUCAGCCAUUCGUGUAAUCUUUUUUCAAGGUUUUUAGCUUCUUUGCAAUGGGUUCGAACAUCCUUCUUUAGCUCGGAGAAGUUCGUUAUUACCGAUCUUCUGAAGCCUACUUCUGUCAACUCGUCAAAGUCAUUCUCCGUCCAGGUUUGUUCCAUUGCUGGUGAGGAGCUGUGAUCCUUUGGAGGAGAAGAGGCGCUCUGAUUUUUAGAAUUUUCAGCUUUUCUGCUCUGGAUUCUCCCCACCUUUGUGGUUUUAUCUACCUUUGGUCUUUGAUGAUGGUGUCCUACAGAUGGGGUUUUGGUGUGGAUGUCCUUUUUGUUGAUGUUGAUGCUAUUCCUUUCUGUUUGUUAGUUUUCUUUCUAACAGUCAGGUCCCUCAGCUGCAGGUCUGUUGGAUUUUGCUGGAGGUCCACUCCCGACCCUGUUUGCCUGGGUAUCAGCAGCAGAGGCUGCAGAACAGCAAAUAUUGCAGAACAGCAAAUGUUGCUGCCUGAUCCUUCCUCUGGAAGCUUCGUCUCAGAGGGUCACCCGGCUUUAUGAGGUGUCAGUCUGCACCUACUGGGAGGUGUCUCCCAGUUAGGAUACUCAGGGGGCAGGGGCCCACUUAAGGAAGCAGUCUGUCCGUUCUCAGAUCUCACACUCCGUUCUGGGAGAGCCACUACUCUCUUCAAAGCUGUCAGACAGGGACGUUUAAGUCUGCAGAAGUUUCUGCUGCCUUUUGUUCAGCUAUGCCCUGCCCCCAGAGGUGGAGUCUACAGAGGCACACAGGCCUCCUUGAGCUGUGGUGGGCUCCACCCAGUUCGAGCUUCCUGGCAGCUUUGUUUACAUAGUAAAGCCUCACCAAUGGCAGACACCCCUCCCCCAGCCUUGCUGCCACCUCACAGUCCAUUCUUGGACUGCUGUGCCAGCAGUGAGCAAGGCUCUGUGGGCAUGGGACCCACCAAACCAGGCAUGGAAUAUAAUCUCCUGGUGUGGCCUUUGCUAAGACCGUUGGAAGAGCGCAGUAUUAGGGUGGGAGUGUCCUGAUUUUCCAGGUACCAUCUGUCAUGGCUUCCCUUGGCUAGGAAAGGGAGUUCCCUGACCCCUUGAGCUUCCCAGGUGAGGCGAUGCCCUGCCCCGCUUCGGCUCACACUCCAUGGGCUGCACACACUGUCCAACAAGUCCCAGUGAGAUGAACCCGGUACCUCAGUUGGAAAUGCAGAAAUCACCCGUCUUCUAUGUCACUCACACUGGUAGCUGUCGACUGGAGCUGUUCCUAUUUGGCCAUUGUGGAACCAGUCCCUGUUACUUACUUUUAAUAAGGCAUUUAAAACUAAAAUUUUUCAUUGAGCACUGCUUUCAUAGCAUUCCACAAUGUUUGGUAUGUUUGGUUUUUUUAAAUUGUUUAGGUCAAAAUGUAUUCUAAUGUUUUUUGUAAUUUUUCAUUUAUUUAUAGUUUAUUUACAAGAGUGUUGCUUAAUUUCCAAAUAUUUAUGAAUUUUCCAGGUAACUUUUUCUUUUAAAAUAAUUAUAGGCUGGGUGCUGUGGCUCAUGCCUGUAAUCCCAGCACUUUGGGAGGUCAAAGCGGACAGAUUGCUUGAGCUCAGGAGUUUGAGACCAGCUGGGCAAUAUGGUGAAACAUUGUUUCUGAAAAAAUAAAAAAAAAAUUAGCCAGGUAUAGCAGCACACACCUAUAGUCCCAGCUACUCAGGAGGCUGAGAUGAGAGGAUUACUUGAACCCAGGAGGCAGAGGUUGCAGUGAGCCGAGAUCAUGCCGCUGCACUCCAGCCUGGGUGACAGAGCUAGACCCUGUCUCAAAUAAUAAUGAUAAUAAUAUCACAAGAAAUUACAAACAUAAUACACAGAAUUUCCAUGUAUCUUCACUCAGUUUCGUCCAAUGGUAAAAAUCUUACAUGACUAUAAUACAAUGUCAAAACAAGGACAUUGACAUUGGUGCAAUCCACAGGUAUAUAUUCAUAUUUCACCAGUUUUACAUGCAUUCAACUUGUAUGUAGGUGCAUAUAUAGUUCUAUGCAAUUUCAUCACAGGUGUAGAUUAGUGUAAUCACCACCACAAUCAAGAUGCAAAACUGUUCUAUCACAGUAAAAUUCCCUCAUGCUACCCCUCCAUAGUCAUACCCAUUCCCUUCUUCUCACCUGUCCCACAGCCCUGGCAAUCAAUCUAUUCUCCAUCUCUGUAAUUUUAUUAUUUCAAGAAUGUUAUAUAGGCCAGGCAUGGUGGCUCAUGCCUAUAAUCUCAGCACUAUGGGAGGUCAAGGCAGGAGGAUAACCUGAAGCCAGGAGUUUGACACCAGCCUGGGCAACAUACAGACCCUGUCUGUAUAUUAAAAAAUUAAAAAUAAAUAUUAAAAAAUUUAAGAAGAAUGUUAUAUAAAUAGAGUCACAUCAUAUAUAACCUUUGAGAUGGACUUUGUUUCACUCAGUAUAGUUCUCUUGAGAUUUAUCCAAGUGGUUUUGUGUAUCAGUAGUAAGUUUCUCUUUUAUCAUUGAGUAGUAUUCCAUGAUAUGGAUGUACCAUAAUUUGUUUACUUAUUCACCCACUGAAGAGAUUUGAAUUGUUCCAAUUUUGGGCUACUACAAACAAAUCUGCUAUAAAAAUUUAUGUGCACAUUUUUGUGUGCAUAUAAAUUUUCUUUUCUCUGAGAUAAAUGCCCAGGAAUGCAAUUACUAGGUCAUUUUGUAAUGUAGAUUUUUUUAAGACACUGAUAAACUAUUUGCCAGCAUAGCUGUACCAUUUAUUUAUUUACUUAUUUAUUAACUUUUAUUUUUUUAAGUUACUCAAGACUUUAUUCUCCUGUUAUUACUCCUCAGCUCAGUCACUCUUCUCUUCCCCACAAUUCCAAAACUAUGUUGCAGUUCUUUAAGGGUCAGCCCUCCUGAAGAGCUAUUUUCUUAUUCUGCCUACUUUGACUCUGUAAAAUUCCAACAGGCAAAAUAAAGGCUAAAAAAAUUUUUUUUGCCUUUACUCAUUUUCAAAAUCUGUCAAAUUCUCCUCAGCAGAAAAUUAAUUAUCCCUUUAACUAAUCAAUAUACAAGGAUGAAUGAGUAGUACUUUGGGUUACUUCCUUCUCUUCCUCCCUCUCUUCCAAAUAGACUGAGAUAAGGCUUCUCAGAACCAUGGGAUGUAUCAGCAGUAUAGAAAAGGGACAGUGCUGAAUGAGUCAGCACCCAGUUCCUCCUACCCAUUCCCUUCUAUACCAGCUGGUAGGCUCCCAUUUUAUAUUUCCCAUCGCAAUGCAUGAGAGAUCUAGUUUCUCUGCAUCCCUACUAGCAUUUUGUAUUGUCAUUAUUUUUAAUUUUAGAUGUUUAAAUAGGUGUGUAGUGCCAGGUAUCUUUUAAUUAUUGAUUUCUAAUUUAUUACUAUUUGGUCAGAAGAUACACUGUAUUAGAUUUUAAUUUUUUGUUUUUGUUGUUCAGAGAGGGUCUCAUUCUGUUGCCCAGGCUGAGUGCAAUGGUACAAUCAUGGCCUCAGACUUCCAAGUAGCUGGUACUACAGGCAUGUGCCACUGUGACCAGAUAAUUUUGGUAUUUUUUGUGGAGAUGGGAUCUUGUUAUAUUCUUCAGGCUGGUCUCGAACUCCUGGACUCAAGCAAUCCUCCUACUUCAGCCUCCUAAAGUACUGGGAUUACAGAUGUGAGCUACCAUGCCCAGCCAGAUUUUAAUUUUUAACAGUUAUUAAAACGUCUUUCAUUGCCCAGCAUAUAAUCCAUCUUAAUGAAUGUUUUAUGUGGGUUCAAAUACAAACAAAUGCGUAUUCUACAUUUGUGGUAACAUUUUAUAAAAUCAGUUGAGUCAAGUUGGUUGACAGUGUUGCUCAAAUAUAAUAUAUCUCUAUUGGUUUUUUGCCUAUUUGUCCUAUCAAUUACUGAGACAAGAGUCUUAAAAAUCACUCCAACUAUGAUUGUAGAUUUGUCCAUUUCUUUCUUUUCUUUUCUGUUUUCUUUCUAUUUUUUUUUUUAAGAUGGGAUCUCACUCUGUCACCCAGCCUGGGGUGCAGUGGUGCAAUCAUAGCUCACCAUAACUUCAAACUCGUAGGCUCAAGCGAUCCUCCCACAUCAGACUCCCAGGUAGUUGGGACUACAGGCAUGUACCACUAUUCACAGCUAAUUGUUUUUUUUUUUUUUUUUAUGUUUUGUAGAGACAGAGUCUCACUGUUUUGCACAGGCUGGUCUUGAACUCCUAGCCUCAAGUGGGAUUCUCCCACCUCAGCCUCCCAAGGUACUGGGAUUAGAGUGUGAGCCACCAUACCCAGUCAAUUUGUCUGUUUCUGUCAAAUUUUGCUUUUGCAUUUUGGGACUCCAUUCUUUUUUUUUUUUUUUUUUUUUUUUUUUGAGACGGAAUUUUGGUUUUGUUGCCCCAGCUGGAGUACAAUGGCAUGAUCUUGGCUCACGGCAACCUCCACCUCCCAGGUUCAAGUGAUUCUCCUGCCUCAGCCUCCUGAGUAGCUGGGAUUACAGGCAUGCGCCACCACACCUGGCUAAUUUUGUAUUUGUAGUAGAGACAGGGUUGCUCCAUGUUGUUCAGGCCGGUCUUGAACUCCCGACCUCAGGUGAUCCACCCACCUCAGCAUCUUAAAGUGCUGGGAUUACAGGCAUGAGCCACCGCACCCGGCUGGAAGUCCGUUCGUAAUUGCAUACACACUUAGUAUUGAUAGAUCCUUUUGAUGAGUUUCUCUUUUAUCAUUAAUACUUUUCCUCUUUAUCUCUAGUAAUAUAAUUAUUCUGAAGCCUAUCUUAAUAUUAAUAUAACCACACCUGCUUUUUUAUACUUAAUGUUUGUGUGGUAUAUUUUUUCUACCCUUGUGCUUUCAAACUAUGACUUUUUAUAUUGUAUUUAUUUUAUUCUGUUUUUUAGAGACAGGGUCUCACUCUGUUGCCCAGGCUGGAGUGCAGUGGUGAGAUCACAGCUCACUGUAACCUUGAACUUCUGGGUUCAAGCAAUCCUCCUGCCUCAGCCUCACAAGUAGCUGGAACUUCAGGCGUGUCUCACCACAGCCCUGAAAUGGGGUCUUGCUGUGUUGCCCAGGAUGGUCUCAAACUCCUGGCCUCAAGCAGUUCUCCUGCCUUGGCCUCAAAGUGCUGGAAUUACAGGCGUGAGCCACUGUACCUAGCCUUAAACUAUGUCCUUAUAAUUUUGUAUUUGUCAAGAUCAUAUUGUUGGAUCUUACUUUUAUAUUAAUCUGACAAUCUCUGCCUUUUAAGUGUUUAAUAUGUUUAUAUUUGAUAUAAUUACUAAUCUGAGUUAAUUCUCCCAUAUUGGUAUUAUUUUCUACUUAUGCCUUUUAUUCUUUGUUUCUGCUUCUACUUUCUUGCCUCAUUUUUGGUAUACUGCAUUCUUUUUAAUUAAUUUUUUUUUUGAAAUGGGGUCGUACUAUGUUGCCCAGGCUGGUCUUGAACUCCUGGCCUCAAGUGAUACUCCCAUGUCAGCCUCCCAAAGUCUUGGGAUUACAGGCAUGAGCCACUGUGCCCAGCCCAUAUUGCAUUUUUAUUUUUAUUUAUGUAUUUUUUGUUUUGAGAUGGUGUCUCACUCUAUUGCCUAGGCUGGAGUGCAGUGGCACGGUCUCUGCUCAAUGCAACCUCUGCGUCAUGGUUUCAAGCAAUUCACAUGCCUCAGCCUCCCCCGUAGCUGGGAUUACAGGUGUGUGCCACCACACCCAGCUAAUUUUUCCUAUUUGUGGUAGAGUUGGAGUUUCACUGUGUUGGCCAGGCUGGUCUCAAACUCCUGGCCUCAAGUGAUCCACCCACCUCAGCCUCCCAAAGUGCUGGGAUUACAGGCAUGAGCCACAACACCUAGCCCCUUUUUGCAUUUUUUAAUCAUUCCAUUUUAUCUCUUGUUUUUAGCUGUAUUUCUCGUGGUGUAUUUUUAGUGGCUGUUCUAGAGCAGUGGUUCUUAAACUUUACAUACAUUAGAAACACCUAGUGCUUUUAUUAAAACAUAGAUUUCUGGGCCGUACUCCUAGAGCUCCUUAUCUAGUAGGUCUGUGAUAUUGCUCAAAAAUAUUCAUUUCUAGUAAGUUUUCAGAUGAUGCUGGUGGUAUAAGUCUGGGAACUACAUUUUGAGAACCACUAUUCUAGAAAUUAUUCUCUGCAUUUACCUUCAAAUAGUAUACUAAAAAAAAUUAUUAUACAACUUCACAGAUAGUGCAAGAACUUUACAACAGUAUAAUUCUAUUUCUUCCCCCACCAACAUUUUGUGCUCUUAUUAUCUGACAUUUUACUCUUUAUUCCCAAAUAUGUAAUAAACCUCACAAUAUAUUGGUUUUUUGCUUUAAACAAUCAAUUAUCUUUUCAAAUAUUAUAUACACACACAUACACAAAUAGAUAUAUAAAUAUUUCUUUGUAAAAGACCUUUAACAUAGUUUUUUUGUUUUUUUGUUUUUUUUUUUUUUUUUGAGACAGAGUUUAGCUCUUGUCACCCAGGCUGGAGUGCACUGGCGCGAUCUCAGCUCACCACAACCUCUGCCUCCCGGGUUCAAGCAAUUCUUUUGCCUCAGCCUCCUGAGUAGCUGGGAUUACAGGCAUGCACCACCACACCCGGCUAAUUUUUCUAUUUUUAGUAGAGACAGGGUUUCUCCAUGCUGGUCAGGCUGGUCUUGAAAUCCCGUCCUCAGGUGAUCCACCUGCCUCAGCCUACCAAAGUGCUGGGAUUACAGGCGUGAGCCACCACACCUGGCCUUUUUUUUUUUUUUUUUUUCUCUUUGAGAUGGAGUCUGUCUGUCACCCAGGCUGGAGUGCAGUGGCAUGAUCUCGGCUCACUGCAAACUCCGCCUCCUGGGUUUAAGCCAUUCUCAUGCCUCAGCCUCCUGGGUAGCUGGGAUUACAUGUGCACACCAUGAUGCCCAGCUAAUUUUUAUAUUUUCAGUAGAGAUGAGGUUUCACCAUGUUGGCCAGGCUGGUCUCUAAGUCCUGACCUCAAGUGAUCCACCUGCCUUGGCCUCCCAAAAUGCUGGGAUUACAGGCGUGAGCCACCACACCUGGCUGUAUCCAUUUUUUAAAACGUUUUCUGGGAGUCUUAAAUUCUUCCUACAGAUCUGAGUUUCCUUCUGCUAUCUUUUCUGUUCAGUCAGAAAAACUUAUGCCAGCUUUUCUUGUAGCAUGGGUCCAAUGGAGAUGAAUCUUCCCAAUUUUUACCUGUCUGAAAAUGACUUUAUUUCACCUUUUUUUUUUUUUUUUUUUUUUUGAGACAGAGUCUCGCUCUGUUGCCCGGGCUGGAGUGCAGUGGUGCAGUCUCAGCUCACUGCAACCUCCACCUACCAGGUUCAAGCGAUUCUCCUGCCUCAGCCUCCUGAGUAGCUGGGAUUACAGGCACCUGCCAUCAUGCCCAGCUAAUUUUUUGUAUUUGUAGUAGAGACGGAGUUUCACCAUGUUGGCCAGGCUGGUCUCAAACUCCUGACCUCGUGAUCCGCCUGCCUCGGCCUCCCAAAGUGCUGGGAUUACAGCUUUGAGCCACCGUGCCUGGCCUUCACCUUCAUUUUUAAAGUAUCUUUUCACUGGCUAUAGAAUUCUAGUUUGACAGUGUUUUUCUUUUAGCACUUUAAAGAUGUUCUAUUGUCUUCUGGCCUCCAUCGAUUCUAGUGAAAAGUCAUCUGUUAUUUCUAUCAUUAUUCCCUUAUAUUUAUGUAUUUUUCCCCCCUUUGAUUGCUUUUCAGAUUUACCACUUACCGCUGCUUUUCAGCAGUUUGGCUGUGAUUUGUUUAGGUGCUGCUUUUUCCUUAUUUAUUCUCCUUGUGGGUGCGUUAAGGUUCUUGGUUCUCCUCCCACCCCCAACUCUCCCCUGACACACAACGUGGAUGUGGAACUUCUUGAUUCUAUGAGUUGAGAUCUUCAAUCAAUUUUGGUAAGUCUUGACCAAUAAAGCUUUAAUGAUUUCUUCUGCCAUGCUGUCCCUGUUCUCUUAUUUUUGGGAUUCCAUUUGCACAUAUGUUGGGUUGUUUGAAAUUAACCCAAAUACUGUCAGAUGCUCAGUUUCCUCUGCUGUUGAGUCUGCUACUAAGCUGCUACUAAUGAAUUUAUUUUUGAUAUUGUGUUUUUCAUUUUUAGCAUUUCCAUAUGGUUCUUUUUUUCUAGUUUCCACCACUUUUUUGAAAUUCCCCAUCUCUUCAUGAAUGUUGUCCUCUUUUCCAUGAGGUCCUUUAACAUUUUUAUAUUAUAGAUGUUUUUUAUUUUAAUAUCUCAGUCUGAUAAUUUUAACUUUUAAGCUAGCUCUGGAUCUGAUUCUAUUGAUUAUUUUCUAUCUUAACCAUGAGACCUAUUUUCUUGCUUUUUCACAGACCUUGAAAUUUUUUAUUGCACACUGAAUACUUUGAAAUAAAAGUAGAAUGAAUACAAAAUAAAUAAUAUUUACCUCCAAAAAAAAGAAAAGAGCAAGCCCCUUCUGCAAGGAGCUGAGUCUAUCUGAUCUGUAAUUGAUCUGGGUCUGGGCAUUGUUGUAGCUUUAGUUUAAUUCCGUUCACAACUGUUCUCAAUGUUUUGAGGGUGGGAUUAGGACUUUGUCUUCAGCAGAACUGGGUAUCUGAGCACUGGUGAGAUUCUUGAGAUCGGCUUUUAUUUCAAAAGUGAGCUGACAGACUUCAGAACUGUGGGGGAUCGCAGCCUGCUUUACAGCCCAGCUGAUAGCUUUUUGAUUUCUCGUUGCCCUUUGCUUCCCUGCUUUCUGUACCUCUGGAGAAGUCUCUCAGCCCUUUGGCUCCUCACUGGCUCUAGAAACUUUCUAGACUCUAUGAAGGCCCAAAACACCUCAAGGAGUUUCCCCUAGCCAUUUUUUUCUUCCCCCAGCUUUGGUGAACUAUUCCCAGCAUGAUGUGAAGACUCUCGGGAAAGAGGAGGCAGGCAGGUGCAGACUCCCUCUGUGGCUGGGGCUCCUCCGCCCACAGGCAGCCAUUCCAAGCUUGUUAAAAUUGCAGCUGAGUUCUCAUCCCUGCUGUUCACAGACUCGUCUUCCUUCUGCCAUUCCCCCAGAGGUGACAAUGACCAUGAGUCUCUCCUUUCAUAUGUGGAGCUUGUCACUUGCUUGAGUUUGGUUCAUUUAGGUUUCUUUGCUCCCUCAGUUCUCUGAUGGGUUUUAAAAAUCAAAGAUUAUUUUGAGCUUACCUGUCUUGUUUUGGUUGAUAAGGUACAAAUAGUCUCACGUAACCCUGUACAUCUGGUAGAAAUCCCCCAGAUAACUGCCUCUUACUAGCAAUGAAAAGGUAUGUAGGAAUCAGAAGAAAGCAAUCAAUCACAUAGGAAUUGAAAACUUUAAAGCCGAAGCCAGUGCAGAGAUUAAAAAAAAAUAGACGCUGGUAAAGGUUUGCAUCGUAGUCUAUCAAACAAAUGCCGAGGUGCUAAUCACACACACACACACACACACACACACACACACACGCACUCGCCCAAAGACUAAGGCAAAGAAGAGAUGAUCUGUGCACCUUGCAAGUGACAUUUAUUUUCUGAGAUUGGAUAGAAUGCAUAGUGCACUAAAAUGUGUUGUGUUUUAUUUGGGUGAUUGCCUACUUCCUACUCUGUCUCUUAGGGUAGUGAGUCUCACAUUUUACUCUGCAUCUGAAUCACCUGGGCAUCUUGUUAAAAUUCAAAUUCUCUCUUAGUAGGCCUGGGGUUGGGCUCGAGAUUCUAUAUACAUUUCUAACAAUUAGAUAAUCCUAAUGGUAUAUGACCAGCACGGUCCUAGAGUAUAUACACCUUUAUUUUUAGGUGGGUCAUAGCAAUGAAACUUAAUCAUUUGUGCUAAGGUGAGUUUACAGUAUAAAGGAAACAGGAAAUAUUUAAAAACUGAAUUAACUAAAUAAAAUCAACAAUCUGAAAACUCCCAAGAAGUAGCCAGAAUGUGGCUUAUAGUCAUGCAAGGUGCAGAGAAAAGUGACAUUUCAGUGUUGAGGAAAUCCAGUGAGAGGCAGACCUAUAAUUCAUCAAGCUGGCUUCUCUGGGGGUGGUUUAGUUUUUCUUGAAGUGGGUAGCUGCCAUUCUGGGAGCUGGGGCUGAAACGGGUAUUCAUUGCCAUUCAGAACCAGGCCUUUGACAGCUCUGCUGUCUCACAUCUGCUGAGGGCAUCAAGCACCGGUUCAGUAGGGAAAGAAGGAUGGGGAAAGGCUGUGGGGAGAGAGGUUGGGUAACAUUAGGGAGAUGCCAAGAAUCUGGCUAUUCAAGACAGUGUUCACAGCACCAACAAUUGCAGAAAACAUUCAUUGAGUGGUUGUAAAUUAGCACUUGAAUCCCACUAUCCUCUUUUUCAACUGCCAAAUUUGUUUGUUUUUCACCAGAAGAGACUUAGUGAUUGGAAUUUUGUAAUUGUGAUAUUAGCUAUUGGUCCUGCAUUCAUCACAGAACUAAUUAAUGCACCCAUAGAAGAGAAAAUAAAUUCCCCAUCAUUUUCUGGGCUUAGCAAGGCAGUACAAAUUUCCAACAGAUGUGAGUAGGGCACAGGCCACCUUGUUAGGAAGAAAGCAAGGGAAAUGAUUAUAAAUCCACUAAAGGUAAAGAUUUAAUUUAAUAAAACUUUACCACUCAAAGAAA